UUUUUUUGUGCUUUUAGUUUGCAUAUCCAUAAAUACACUUUAGUGAUCAUUUUAUUUCUUUAUAUUUAGAUAUUUCUUUUAGAAAUUUGAAGGAAUUUGAGGGUUAUUGACGUCUUUUCAAGUAUUUACUAACUUUUGUACGGAAAGUUAUCUUUCCUUGCCUAUGGAUUCUUCUUUCCUUCUUCCAUUGAAGUUCAGAGUCACCCCCAAAAGAAAAGGGAAAAAAAAAAAAGAAAAAAAAGAAAAAGAACUCUGGAAUCUGCUUCAAGUUCAUCUAGGUUAUCUGGUGCCGAGUCAUUGUUGAUUUGAUAGAUGAUUCUUCAUCUUUGAAUGUUACAUUGUUCGGAAAUCAAGCUGAAAAAUUUCUUGGUUGCACUGCAUAUGAGUUAAUGGAUAACUCUGAUGGGGUGAGGCAGAUCCAAUAGUGCUGAAUGUUGAAUAUUAAGAGCUUGAUGAAGGAAGUACGAAGCAGCUUGCCAAGCUUAAAGACAAUGCUUAGUUUGUCAUCACAUGAGCCAUCUUUUUGUUAAUGUUGACAUGAUAGAUUACUAUCAGUUCAUAAGUAGAUUAUUAUCAGCCUUUUGUGAACUCAUAGCACAUUUUGACUAUAUUAUGAUAGUAACACUAACAUUAUAUUUUGUACAUUGCAAGAUGUAAUAAAAAAUUGAUUUAGGUAUAACCUAA
Molecule: long non-coding RNA, 684 nt
Organism: Ziziphus jujuba (common jujube)
Lineage: Eukaryota; Viridiplantae; Streptophyta; Magnoliopsida; Rosales; Rhamnaceae
Exons: 3
Source: RefSeq, a predicted model, not a curated record